Molecule: long non-coding RNA, 1107 nt
Organism: Salvelinus fontinalis (brook trout)
Lineage: Eukaryota; Metazoa; Chordata; Actinopteri; Salmoniformes; Salmonidae
Exons: 3
Source: RefSeq, a predicted model, not a curated record
GGGGGGGGGGGGGGUUCACACCUAGCUCGGCUAUUAGAGUAUUAUUCAGUAAAGGUUGUUCAGUUAUUAGCCCCCCCUCCCCAAUUUGCAACAAAUUGUUGUUCCCAUCUCAUUCCUUUCCCUCUUCUACGCGUCAUCAUUCUGCUCCUGAGUGGCUCGCUUGUGGGCGUGCUGGCAGGAUAUGGCAGCAUUUUCGGUUGUGCGUCAAGAAUUCUACAUACAGUAGCACGUUUGUAUGAAGGUGUGGUUAUUCACAGGCAAAUUGUUAUAUGCUAUGGGUACAUUUGGGUAUUUUUGUCAAGAGCAAAACCUCUUUUUAAAAAAAAUAUUUUUUGUAUCAAAAAUAAGUGUUAUGAAAGCAACUUUUUUCCGACACAAAGGAAGUCAAAGCGGACACCUACAAAGAUGGCAUCUCAGAGAGCGAGCUGAUCAAGAGGUGGAAAAUGUAGAUAUUGCCAGAUGUUCACUGUCUGAGGAACAGGGCGUGGAAGCUUUAUCGCUGGCAAAAGUGUCCAUAACCAGAGGUUAUAUCAGCUGUAUUGGUGAACCCCUCCCGCAUCUGAACUGGCUGACAGAGAGGGCACUUGGUCGGGUCAACAGGAAUAUUAUUAAAGAGAUGCUUUACAUUGAAAUACAGACAGAGAUGUAGUAGUCCCAGAGUGACUGACCGUGUUAGAAUAUAAAAACAAAGCUUAAUCAUGCUCUCUCUCUAUCCAUCUGUCACUCGUCUGCAGGCAUGUUUUGAUGUGAGAGAGAAAGCCAGUCCCAUCAUCGCCACCUCAUCCGCUCUUAAGAUAACCUUCGGGCCAACUGGGGGCCCAAGGCUGGUUAGGAGACACCGCAAUUGUGAUGAACAGAGAAUAUUAGGGUAGCAUUAGGGUAGUCUGCCGCUGUUCUUACCUCUUUUACUUUCUGUCUUCUACACCUCUCUCCCCACCUUGUCUUUCUUCCUCGUUUUAUAAUGCACACCAUAUGUGCAUUGAAGUACAGAUAGAACUUGUAUUUAUAAUAUUACAAUUAUCAUUAUAAUGCAUUUAUUAUGUAUUUAUAACACCUGAAUAAUUAACUUCUUUCAAUAAAGCGUUUCACAGUCUCCACUGGUUGAAA